Molecule: ribosomal RNA, 481 nt
Filed under: uncultured bacterium
Lineage: Bacteria
Description: partial 16S ribosomal RNA
Rfam family: Bacterial small subunit ribosomal RNA
Source: RNAcentral
GAUGAACGCUGGCGGCGUGCUUAACACAUGCAAGUCGAACGAAGCAUUUAGAAUAGAUUACUUCGGUUUGAAGUUAUUUAUGACUAAGUGGCGGACGGGUGAGUCACGCGUGGGUAAUAUGCUUUGUACUGGGGGAUAGCUGCUGGAAACGGCUGGUAAUACCGCAUAAGCGCACAAUAUUUCAUGACAUGGUGUGAAAAACUCCGGUGGUAUAAGAUGGACCCGCGUCUGAUUAGCUAGUUGGUGAGAUAACAGCCCACCAAGGCGACGAUCAGUAGCCGACCGGUGAGGGUGAACGGCCACAUUGGGACUGAGACACGGCCCAGACGCCUACGAGAGGCAGCAGAUGGUAAUAAUGCAGAAUGGAGGAAACUCUGAAGCAGCGACGCCGCGUGAGUGAAGAAGUAAUUCGUUAUGUAAAGCGCUAUCAGCAGAGAAGAGAGUGACGGUACCUGACUAAGAAGCACCGGCUAAAUACGUG